Molecule: ribosomal RNA, 276 nt
Filed under: uncultured bacterium
Lineage: Bacteria
Description: partial 16S ribosomal RNA
Rfam family: Bacterial small subunit ribosomal RNA
Source: RNAcentral
UACGUAGGUGGCGAGCGUUGUCCGGAUUUACUGGGCGUAAAGAGCGCGCAGGCGGUCGUGCAAGUCGCGUGUGAAAAGCCCCCCGGCUGCAACUGGGGAGGGUCACGCGAUACUGCUCGACUUGAAGGCAGGAGAGGGAAGUGGAAUUCCCGGUGUAGUGGUGAAAUGCGUAGAUAUCGGGAGGAACACCAGUGGCGAAGGCGACUUCCUGGCCUGUUCUUGACGCUGAGGCGCGAAAAGCUAGGGUAGCAAACGGGAUUAGAUACCCGCGUAGUC